This 490-nucleotide ribosomal RNA is filed under the name uncultured bacterium. RNAcentral describes it as "partial 16S ribosomal RNA". It matches the Rfam family "Bacterial small subunit ribosomal RNA", at positions 30 to 507 of the family's 1533-position model. The record is from RNAcentral.
AUUGAACGCUGGCGGCAGGCCUAACACAUGCAAGUCGAACGGUAACAGGAAGAAGCUUGCUUCUUUGCUGACGAGUGGCGGACGGGUGAGUAAUGUCUGGGAAACUGCCUGAUGGAGGGGGAUAACUACUGGAAACGGUAGCUAAUACCGCAUAACGUCGCAAGACCAAAGAGGGGGACCUUCGGGCCUCUUGCCAUCGGAUGUGCCCAGAUGGGAUUAGCUUGUUGGUGGGGUAACGGCUCACCAAGGCGACGAUCCCUAGCUGGUCUGAGAGGAUGACCAGCCACACUGGAACUGAGACACGGUCCAGACUCCUACGGGAGGCAGCAGUGGGGAAUAUUGCACAAUGGGCGCAAGCCUGAUGCAGCCAUGCCGCGUGUAUGAAGAAGGCCUUCGGGUCGUAAAGUACUUUCAGCGGGGAGGAAGGGAGUAAAGUUAAUACCUUUGCUCAUUGACGUUACCCGCAGAAGAAGCACCGGCUAACUCCGUG